RNAcentral lists this ribosomal RNA (252 nucleotides) under Citrobacter sp. A16. RNAcentral describes it as "partial 16S ribosomal RNA". It matches the Rfam family "Bacterial small subunit ribosomal RNA", at positions 153 to 407 of the family's 1533-position model. The record is from RNAcentral. Lineage: Bacteria; Pseudomonadati; Pseudomonadota; Gammaproteobacteria; Enterobacterales; Enterobacteriaceae.
GAAACGGAAGCUAAUACCGCAUACGGCCGAAGGACGAAAGAGGGGGACCUUCGGACCUUUUGCCAUCGAAUGAGCCCAUAUGGGAUUAGCUAGUAGGUGGGGUAACGGCCCACCUAGGCGACGAUCCCUAGCUGGUCUGAGAGGAUGACCAGCCACACUGGAACUGAGACACGGUCCAGACUCCUACGGGAGGCAGCAGGGGGGAAUAUUGCACAAUGGGCGCAAGCCUGAUGCAGCCAUGCCGCGUGUAUG